This 868-nucleotide long non-coding RNA is filed under the name Coturnix japonica (Japanese quail). Its description in RNAcentral is "lncRNA (ENSCJPG00005010081.1)". Lineage: Eukaryota; Metazoa; Chordata; Aves; Galliformes; Phasianidae. The record is from RNAcentral.
UGCUGAAAAGCCAUGUCUCCUUUUCCUGAUGAACCUCCAAACCUCCAGUGCUACAAGUCAGUGAUGAAAUAACCAUCCUCUGUGUAAAGCUUUUAGUGCUGAAUGUGAAAAAAUUCUCCGGGCUGCCAGCAGGUGGGAUUCAUGAUCAAACAGGAUAUAGCAACUUGCACCUGGAUUGCAAGAUCUGUGGUUCUCACUGUACCAUACAGAUGACUUUCUGGCCCAGGUUAAAGUUGGAACUACAUGAGGGAUCCCCAUUUGUCACCUGCUGCUGGGCCGUUGCUCUGCCCUAGCCCAACCACAAGCGUAUCUGUGCUAGUCACUGUGACACUGAUUAAGAAAUCCUGGCUGUGAUGCUCAGAGUCACUGUUUUGCAAUACUCACAAACUCUGUGUUUUGUUCUGUUGAGAAAAGCAAUUCCACUUUGAAUAAUCUUUUCCUGUAAACGUGUAGAAAACCUUUAAUCAAACACUAACUAGUUCUAGGCAUGAGAAAAAAAAGUUUGAUGAAAACAUAUCUUAGUCAUGAUGUAUAAAUAGCUCUUCACAGUCAAUAUAUAAUCUUGCAUCAUUAUGAAAGGAAGCGAUCAUUAAAAAUAUAAUUUGGAGAGCAAUAUUUUACCUCCUGGUUGUCACAGACCCCCCUUUCUGUACACAGCUCUGGACAGGGUUAAUCCCCAAAUGACUUUCACCAUUGUAAAUCAGGAGUAACAAACCCUGACUUCAAGCAAAGGCUCUUGGUGUAAAUCACUGGAGGAUCUAAUCCCGUCGCCUGAGAAAAAAAACAUGAAAACAUCUUAGGAAAAUACAACUGCUUUGGCACUGCAGAGAGGAAAAAAUAAAGCAAAAUGCUUUAAACUUCUAAGGCA